This 28-nucleotide small RNA is filed under the name Bombyx mori (domestic silkworm). RNAcentral's name for it is "ovarian small RNA-15229". The record is from RNAcentral. Lineage: Eukaryota; Metazoa; Arthropoda; Insecta; Lepidoptera; Bombycidae.
GAAGCACAGGUUGCUGCGGUCCACUGUC